AUGGACUUGCCGGGGCUGUUAGAAGGAGACUUUAAUAAAAUUCUAUAUGCCCAUGAGAAAGAUGGUGGUGAUGCAUGCCCGUAACGGUGCAUGCAAGAUUUCAGUGACGCUCUUGCUGAUUGUGGGCUUGAUGAUUUAGCAUACACAGGUGACAAAUUCUCGUGGCGGCGUGGGCAUAUUUGUGAAUGCCUAGACCGUGCUACUCGCAAUAUCACUUGGGCUAAUAUGUUUCCUAUGUUUGGUGUGUCGAACAAGGACUUCGACAAGUCUAAUCAUAGGCCGGUGCUGAUUGACACUAAUUUUCAGCUUGGUGUUCAACCAAGAGGACCAAGUGGGCCUCGUAAAUUUGAGGCACACUGGUUGGCCGAAGAGGACAUUGAAACAAUAGUGCAAGUGGCCUGGGACAAACGCAAGGCGAUGGGGAUGGCAUCGUUUAUAGAAACAACAGCGGACGUACAUCCUGGGCUUCACCGCUGGGACAAGGAGGUCCUUAAGGGGCCAAGAACUAGGCUGCAUGAGCUACAGAAAGAACUUAAUCUAGUCCUACCAGGACCACUGAAUGAUGAGGCAGUGGUAAAACAACAUCAGCUGCACUUUGAAAUUGAGAAACUACUUGAGCAAGAAGAAAUAUACUAUCUCCAAUGA
RNAcentral lists this ribosomal RNA (645 nucleotides) under Triticum aestivum (bread wheat). RNAcentral describes it as "partial small subunit ribosomal RNA". Lineage: Eukaryota; Viridiplantae; Streptophyta; Magnoliopsida; Poales; Poaceae. The record is from RNAcentral.